GAGUUUGAUCCUGGCUCAGGACGAACGCUGGCGGCGUGCUUAACACAUGCAAGUCGAACGAGGUCCAUCCGGUGGCAACACUGGAGAAGACCUAGUGGCGAACGGGUGAGUAACACGUGAGGAACCUGCCCCGAAGACCGGGAUAACAGCGGGAAACCGCUGCUAAUACCGGAUACCCCCAUCGGAUCACAUGGCCUGAUGAGGAAAUGGAUUCCGCUUCGGGAGGGCCUCGCGGCCUAUCAGCUUGUUGGUGGGGUAACGGCCUACCAAGGCGACGACGGGUAGCUGGUCUGAGAGGACGAUCAGCCACACUGGGACUGAGACACGGCCCAGACUCCUACGGGAGGCAGCAGUGGGGAAUCUUGCGCAAUGGGCGAAAGCCUGACGCAGCAACGCNGCGUGAGGGAUGAAGGCCUUCGGGUUGUAAACCUCUUUCGACAGGGACGAUAAUGACGGUACCUGCAGAAGAAGCCCCGGC
RNAcentral lists this ribosomal RNA (478 nucleotides) under Actinomycetales. RNAcentral's name for it is "bacterial SSU rRNA". It matches the Rfam family "Bacterial small subunit ribosomal RNA", at positions 9 to 497 of the family's 1533-position model. The record is from RNAcentral. Lineage: Bacteria; Bacillati; Actinomycetota; Actinomycetes.